Molecule: long non-coding RNA, 760 nt
Filed under: Phoenix dactylifera (date palm)
Lineage: Eukaryota; Viridiplantae; Streptophyta; Magnoliopsida; Arecales; Arecaceae
Description: long non-coding RNA (PDAC_LNC003762)
Source: RNAcentral
AAUAACUAUCAAAAAAAUUACAAAAUCAUCAGUAAGGUUUUAUAAUAUCGAUGUGCUGAAAGUAUUUGCAUAAGCGAAAGAUUUUAUAAUAUCAAUAUAGAAGUGCUCAUCUAGUGCAGACUGGUUUUUGCUGGGGCACAGGUAAUGUUUAUUCUAUCAACUUGACUAGCAGCCCAUGGAUUUCAGAUACGACUUUGAAUAUGCUGUCCGCUGCUCUGAAUUAUGAUAAUUGUAAUGAUAAAAUCAAAGCGGCUGAUCCGAUCGAUCGCUGAUGAUAGGUGUUGUGGGAUGGGGUUCUCAGUUUAGUCCCACAUCGGCUAAUCAGCGGAAAGGUCUGUGCCUUAAAUGGGGGGCUCAAUAACCUCUCCUUACCGAGGGCUUAGGCCCUGUGGUACUGAGGGCCCCUCUAAGGAGGGACAAAACCGUGCGGGGGUGUCACGCCCCGAACCCGAACCUAGGCCCGGGACGCGCCAGACGCCGCACACCCGCACGGCGGACCGCACGGGCGUGCAAGGCUGAAUAAUCAGACACUCAAGUCGCAACAUCAGAUCACAAUAUCAAUACUAAAAAUCCAUCAUUUAUGAUAAUCAAAUCAAUAAUUCAAUUUCAAAUGUCUCAAAUAAAGUUGAUAACAUUUAUUUACAAGAUCAAUUACUUAUGACAAAAUGAAUCUAAAUCUAUCUAUGUCCAGUGUCAUAAGUCCUCUCCUCCCGAAUCCCCCAUCAAUCAUCUCCUGCAAUUAUGUCAAAAACAGGUAUGN